RNAcentral lists this ribosomal RNA (576 nucleotides) under uncultured Gammaproteobacteria bacterium. RNAcentral's name for it is "partial 16S ribosomal RNA". Lineage: Bacteria; Pseudomonadati; Pseudomonadota; Gammaproteobacteria. The record is from RNAcentral.
CGACCUGCAGGCGGCCGCGAAUUCACUAGUGAUUCGUAUUACCGCGGCUGCUGGCACAAAAUUAGCCGGUGCUUAUUCUGUCGGUAACGUCAAAACACUAACGUAUUAGGUUAAUGCCCUUCCUCCCAACUUAAAGUGCUUUACAAUCCGAAGACCUUCUUCACACACGCGGCAUGGCUGGAUCAGGCUUUCGCCCAUUGUCCAAUAUUCCCCACUGCUGCCUCCCGUAGGAGUCUGGACCGUGUCUCAGUUCCAGUGUGACUGAUCAUCCUCUCAGACCAGUUACGGAUCGUCGCCUUGGUGAGCCAUUACCCCACCAACUAGCUAAUCCGACCUAGGCUCAUCUGAUAGCGCAAGGCCCGAAGGUCCCCUGCUUUCUCCCGUAGAACGUAUGCGGUAUUAGCGUCCGUUUCCGAGCGUUAUCCCCCACUACCAGGCAGAUUCCUAGGCAUUACUCACCCGUCCGCCGCUCUCAAGAGGUGCAAGCACCUCUCUCCCGCUCGACUUGCAUGUGUUAGGCCUGGCGCCAGCGUUCAAUCUGAGCCAUGAUCAAACUCUAAUCGAAUUCCCGCGGCC